Molecule: non-coding RNA, 21 nt
Filed under: Rattus norvegicus (Norway rat)
Lineage: Eukaryota; Metazoa; Chordata; Mammalia; Rodentia; Muridae
Source: RNAcentral
UAUGCACAAGUAGAAGACCCU